AGUUGAUCCUGGCUCAGAUUGAACGCUGGCGGCAUGCCUACACAUGCAAGUCGAGCGGCAGCGCGGGGCGAACCCUGGCGGCGAGCGGCGAACGGGUGAGUAAUACAUCGGAACGUGUCCAGUAUGGGGGAUAACCAGUCGAAAGAUUGGCUAAUACCGCAUACGAUCUACGGAUGGAAGCGGGGGACCGCAAGGCCUCGCGCUAUUGGAGCGGCCGAUGUCGGAUUAGCUAGUUGGCGGGGUAAAAGCCCACCAAGGCGACGAUCCGUAGCUGGUCUGAGAGGACGAUCAGCCACACUGGAACUGAGACACGGUCCAGACUCCUACGGGAGGCAGCAGUGGGGAAUUUUGGACAAUGGGGGCAACCCUGAUCCAGCCAUGCCGCGUGAGUGAAGAAGGCCUUCGGGUUGUAAAGCUCUUUCGGCGGGGACGAAACGGUCCGUGACAACACCACGGACUAAUGACAGUACUCGCAGAAGAAGCACCGGCUAACUACGUG
Molecule: ribosomal RNA, 499 nt
Filed under: uncultured beta proteobacterium
Lineage: Bacteria; Pseudomonadati; Pseudomonadota; Betaproteobacteria
Description: bacterial SSU rRNA
Rfam family: Bacterial small subunit ribosomal RNA
Source: RNAcentral